UCUGACUGUGAGAGUUGUGAGACCCGCCGCUCGCUGAGGACAGUAACUGAAGAAGGAGUGUGUUCACCUCAGAGUCUCCAACAGUCUCCAACAACACCAGAAAAAGUCGCUAGAUUUGUCGCUAGUCGCUUAAAAAAAAGUCGCUAGAGGAGUCUGAGAAGUCGCUAAGUUGGCAACACUGGAUGUCGCGAUGGGGUUGAGACGUUAUUCAUUACCAAUCAAAUAAGCUUAUUUUAGCGCAAAAAAAGAACAACUCAUGGGCGCCGCCGGGCGAAGCAACCCACGUUGCACAACGCCAAUUAGUUAACUAACUAAGAAAGCGUCCCUGCUGUUGGAUUAUGGAACGACGAGCUCAGACGGAACUGUUCCUCGGCCAUUUAUUGGAAAGGCUCCAUACUCGACUUCGGAGUUGGCUUGACCGUAUUCCUCUUGAUGUAGUUAGAUUACUUAGAAUUUGUGUGUUCACAGAAGCUGGUACUCCUUAGUUCAGUCUCAACUCAAGUAGAUGUUCCUCAAGGUGUUUAUAACGCACUUGCAGAGGUCCACCAGAUGGCAUGCAAUCUAAAUAACAAGGAGACCUGCAUCACUAUUGAGCAUGAGAAGGGAAUGAAUGGCUGUUGGGUCUGUCAAGAUUUACAGUACACAGGCGUAUGGCAGAGUGGGGGUUAUCUGUGUGGGCAGGCUUCAGCAUCUUGACUGAUGAGGAACUGGACUCCCUAGUAUCAACAAUUCAUGCCAAAAAUUCAAAUGCAGGAUAUAGAAUGAUGAUGGGUUUGCUGAGGGCACAAGGACUUUGUGCGUAGUGGGAAAAAGUACAUUCUUCAAUGCACCGAGUAGACACCAUUGGCAUAAUUUCCAGAAUGUCAGAGUUGGGCUGUGUGAUCAGAGGAACAUAUUCUGUGACAGCCCCAAAGUCACUGAUGCACAUCGACACAAAUCACAAGUUAAUAAGGGUGUGGGGCGACCAUGGAGCAGAGACUAUUGAUGUGGCUCGUGUUAUGUUGUCCGUUAGGGGAACGGGAAGGAGUAGCUUUAUUGCAGGCAAAAGCGUCCACAAUCAAAGAAUUGAGCGCUAGUGGUGUGAUGUGUUCACAGCAGUGACCAGCCACUUCUACAACGUCCUGCAUGAGCCUGAUGAGGGUCAUCUUGAUCUGUUCAGCAGCCUGCACAACUGCCAUAAUGACUUCAUUCCAUGCCUGCAAGCCCACCUUGACAUUUUCAGAGAUGGUUGGGAUAAUUAUCCUAUUUGGGCAACCUCUCUCCUAAUCAGCUGUGGCACCUGGGACAACAAUAUCACUCUCAAGAGAGUGAUGAAAAUCUGAACAUUCCACAAAUAGACUGGGAAAGCAGUGGACUUCUGCCCAGUGAUUCCAACUCUGGCAUCCAGGUCCCUAAAAUUGAAUGCCCACUGACAGCUGAUGAAUUUGCUGGACUAAAGUCUACUGUAGAACGUCAACAAGAGUCAAGAGAGUCAACAAGUUUUGGUGGCAGUAUUUAUUUAGCAGCACUGCAGUACAUGCA
Long non-coding RNA from Pygocentrus nattereri (red-bellied piranha), 1521 nucleotides. RefSeq lists it as uncharacterized. The transcript is spliced from 5 exons. The record is from RefSeq and is a predicted model, not a curated record. Lineage: Eukaryota; Metazoa; Chordata; Actinopteri; Characiformes; Serrasalmidae.